RNAcentral lists this ribosomal RNA (272 nucleotides) under uncultured bacterium. RNAcentral describes it as "partial small subunit ribosomal RNA". It matches the Rfam family "Bacterial small subunit ribosomal RNA", at positions 26 to 285 of the family's 1533-position model. The record is from RNAcentral.
AGAAUCAACGCUGGCGGCAUGCCUAAUACAUGCAAGUCGAACGCGAAAGUCCCGCAAGGGAUGAGUAGAGUGGCAAACGGGUGAAUAACACGUGGGUGACCUGCCUUCGAGCGGGGGAUAACGUCCCGAAAGGGACGCUAAUACCGCAUGACAUCCUGCCUUUGAAGAGGUGGAGAUCAAAGCUGGGGAUCGCAAGACCUGGCACUUGAAGAGGGGCCCGCGUCUGAUUAGCUAGUUGGUGGGGUAACGGCUCACCAAGGCAACGAUCAGUA